Molecule: ribosomal RNA, 442 nt
Filed under: uncultured bacterium
Lineage: Bacteria
Description: partial 16S ribosomal RNA
Rfam family: Bacterial small subunit ribosomal RNA
Source: RNAcentral
CCUACGGGGGGCAGCAGUGGGGAAUAUUCGGCAAUGGACGCAAGUCUGACCCAGCAACGCCGCGUGAAGGAAGAAGGCUUUCGGGUUGUAAACUUCUGUUAUGGGGGAAGAGCAGAAGACGGUACCCCUUGAAUAAGCCACGGCUAACUACGUGCCAGCAGCCGCGGUAAUACGUAGGUGGCAAGCGUUGUCCUGAUUUACUGGGUGGGAAGGGCGUGCAGCCGGAGUGACAAGUCAGAUGUGAAAUCCACGGGCUCAAACCGUGAACUGCAUUUGAAACUAUUUCCCUUGAGUGUGGUAGAGGUAAUCGGAAUUCCAUGUGAAGCGGUGAAAUGCGUAGAUAUAAGGAAGAACACCAGAGGCGAAGGCAGAUUACUGGACGAUAACUGACGGUGAGGGGCGAAAGCGUGGGGAGCAAACAGGAUUAGAUACCCGGGUAGUC